GCAAGUCGAGGGGUAACAUUGGUACUUGUACCAGAUGACGACCGGCGCACGGGUGCGUAACGCGUAUACAAUCUACCUUAUACUGGGGAAUAGCCUUUGGAAACGAAGAUUAAUGCCCCAUAGUAUUAUUGAAUGGCAUCGUUUAAUAAUUAAAACUCCGGUGGUAUAAGAUGAGUAUGCGUUCUAUUAGUUAGUUGGUAAGGUAACGGCUUACCAAGACAUCGAUAGAUAGGGGUCCUGAGAGGGAGAUC
RNAcentral lists this ribosomal RNA (251 nucleotides) under uncultured bacterium. RNAcentral's name for it is "partial 16S ribosomal RNA". It matches the Rfam family "Bacterial small subunit ribosomal RNA", at positions 57 to 305 of the family's 1533-position model. The record is from RNAcentral.